Molecule: ribosomal RNA, 468 nt
Filed under: uncultured bacterium
Lineage: Bacteria
Description: partial 16S ribosomal RNA
Rfam family: Bacterial small subunit ribosomal RNA
Source: RNAcentral
GACGAACGCUGGCGGCGUGCUUAACACAUGCAAGUCGAACGGAAAGGCCCUGCUCUUGUGCUGUUCUCAAGUGGCGCACAGGUGAGUAACACGUGAGUAAACUGCCCUUUGUAUUGGGAUAUCUUCAUGAAACUCGGGCUAAAACCGGGUAUGAGCUCCUGCUACACGUGGGGGGUUGGAAAGAUUCGGCGGUUCGGGAUGGACUCGCGGCUCAUCAGCUUGUUGGUGGGGUAGUGGCUUACAAAGGCUUUGAGGGGUAGCCGGCCUGAGAGGGUGACAGGCCACAUUGGGACUGAGAUACGGGCAAGACGGAUACGGGAGGAAGCAGUGGGGAAUAUUGCGCGAUGGGCGGAAGCAUGAUGGAGCAACGCCGCGUCCGAGAUGACGGUCUUAGGGUUGGAAACCGCGUGAGACUGUGACGAAGAGUGAGUGACGGUAGUGGGUAAAGAAGCAACGGCUAACUACGUG